GUCUAUGGCCAUGCCACCCUGAACAAGCCCAAUCUCAUCUGAUCUCAGAAACUUAGCAGGGUCAAGUCUGGUUACUACUUGGAUGGGAGACCACCUAGGAAGACCAGGUGCUGUAAAAG
RNAcentral lists this ribosomal RNA (119 nucleotides) under Pteropus alecto (black flying fox). Lineage: Eukaryota; Metazoa; Chordata; Mammalia; Chiroptera; Pteropodidae. The record is from RNAcentral.